CUGUCCCGAACCUGACCCGCUCAGUCAUCACCGUUGGGUCCGGAUCAUCCCCAAACAUCUAUAAAACAUCUCCGUUUUCUUAUUUAGGCUACCUAACCUAUUUUUCUCAGCCGUUCGAUUACGAUCGUAGGAAUGAGGUAUCCCCUAACCUAAAUUCAUCUGAUAUAAAUAUCAGUCUAACCCUAGAUCCUAGGGGCUUGUCUCAUCAUUCCUUUCGGCCGCCGCCACUCUCUCAUCGGGAUCCUCCCCGAUCCACCCACCUCCUCUCCCUUGAAUUCCUCAUCGGGCAAACCCCAGCCUUUCCCGAGCGCAGCCGCGCCCGAGGCCCCAAGCAACUCCAACCUCGCAACCCUGCCGCCCCGGCGACCUCGCCGCCGGCGACUGACCCGCAUGGUCCAGGCCUCUUCCCCUGCCCUGUUCCCUCCUUCCCUUUCUAGCUCCCUCCUUUCUCUCAUGGCCGUCGCUUGCUGUGUCUCUUUUUCACACCACCAGAGGCCAUGGACGUCGCCGCCCCUUGGGAAGUCGCUGCCGUCGCUACGAACCCUCCCCGACGCCUAGCUCUUCCUCGCUGCCGCGCCAUGUUGCCGUUCCUCUGCUUGGUCGCCGUCCAGGACUUCCUCGCAUCACCUCCAGAUCGAGCAGGAGCCUCGACCCCGAGCUCCUCCUCUGCUUCUUCCCCACGCGCCCGAAGCCCACCUCCUCUCCCCUCGAUCCUGAAUGGAUCGUGAAGCUGCCUGAGGCCCCGAGCAGGAGCGCUCGGCCUCAUCCCCUCGCGCCGCCUCGCCGCUCCAGUGCCGCAGGUCGCCGUCACGUGCCUCCUCCUCCCGUCCUUCUCCUGCUCGUCUUCCCCUCUGUCUCUCAUCCCUCUCGUUUUCUCUCUGACCAGGAGAACCAACUGCCGCGAACAUCGCCGGAGAUGGGCCCCUGACGUCCAGAUCCGCUCGCUUUCACUGCCUCGGCGCCGUCCCUGUCGCCGUCGUCUUCAUCGGUUCCUGACGAGGACGACGCCCCUCCAGUUCGUCUCGAGUGCCAGUCUCUGCCCGAUCUGGUCCCCGUUGACCGCGAGCAUUGGCUGGGUCACAGCCGCGCAGGCCCAGCUCCCUUCGCCCGCGAGCCCAGCUCCGCGCGUCCCUGCAGGCCCAAUGUGAGCCACAGCCCAGUCCCUGGCCCAGCAGUGUACUAAUUCAGCCCGUGUUGUUUUUUUUCCUCUGGACGAAUUUGUCUAUUUAUCCAGAGAACGUCAGCUUUGCAGAAAAACCCUCUUUGUUCCUGCAUCAAUAAUUCACAAACCAUGCAUCAGAAUUAAAUAAAUUAUAUAUGAAAAGUGCUUAGAAUUUCAUCUAGUUUCAUAAUAAGCAACUUUCAUCCAUGUUAAAAAUGUUUAACUUGCUGUUUGCAUUAAUUUGCUUAAAUGCCAUGUUAAAAUGGUUUAUUUCAUAACUAAAUAACCAUAGCUCCAAAUUAAAUAAACUUUAUAUGUAAAUGGGGUAGAAAAAUGCCUAGUUUAACAUGGUGCACUUUAUUUUGCUGUUUAACAACAUUAAAAUUGUGUUUAUGGCAGAACAGUACCAAAUCUAAAAUAUGCACAUGAGGAUUUUCCAGAAGUGUUGUUUAUUGUUCCGGCCUCAUUUAAACUUGCCUAGAUAGGUAGUUUUCAUAUGCUUCACCCCUUGCCAUGUUUAAUAACAUUUAAUAUUGUUGGGUACAUAAACGAGAGAGAACUAAAUAAUUGAUGUGGUGUUUCGUCAAUAUGCAACUCGUUUGUUGCACUUUGCCAUGCCAUGCCUCAUUAAACCGGACAUGCAUCAUAUACUUGAUUUUGCAUCAUGCCAUGCUUAUGUGAUGGUUGUUUACCAUGUUGCUUGCUUCUUUCCGGUUUGCUUGUCUCGUUAGCUUCGGUUUCGUUUCGGAGUGUGAGGAUUCGUUCAACUAUGUCCGCUUGUCUUCUUCACGGACUCGUUUUUCUUCCUAGCAGGAUUUCAGGCAAGAUGACCAUACCCUCGAAAUCACUUCUAUCUUUGCUUGCUAGUUGUUCGCUCUAUUGCUAUGCCGCGCUACCUAUCACUUGCUAUAUCAUGCCUCCCAUGUUGCCAUGUCAAGCCUCUAACCCACCUUGCCUAGCAAACCGUUGUUUGGCUAUGUUACCGCUUUUGCUCAACCCCUCUUAUAGCGUUGUUAGUUGCAGGUGAAGUUGAAGAUUGCUUCAUGUUGGAACAUAAUUAGGUGAAGUUGAAGAUUACUCCAUGUUGGAACAUAAUUAUGUUGGGAUAUCACAAUGUCUUUUAUUUUAAUUAAUGCAUCUAUAUACUUGGUAAAGGGUGGAAGGCUCGGCCUUAUGCCUGUUGUUUUGUUCCACUCUUGCCGCCCUAGUUUCCGUCAUACCGGUGUUAUGUUCCUUGAUUUUGCGUUCCUUACGCGGUUGGGGAUUUAUGGGACCCCCUUGACAGUUCGCUUUGAAUAAAACUCCUCCAGCAAGGCCCAACCUUGAUUUUAACAUUUGCCACCUAAGCCUUUUUUUCCCUUGGGUUCUGCAGACUCAAGGGUCAUCUUUAUUUUAACCCCCCCGGUCCAGUGUUCCUCUGAGUGCUGGUCCAAACCGGGCGAUGUCCGGCGCCCCCUGGGCAACCAGGGUCUAUGCCAACCCGACGUCUGGCCCAUCCGGUGUGCCCUGAGAACGAGAUACGUGCGACUCCUAUCGGGAUUUGUCGGCACAUCGGGCGGCUUUGCUGGUCUUGUUUUACCAUUGUCGGAAAGUCUUGUAACCGGGAUUCCGAGACUGAUCGGGUCUUCCCGGGAGAAGGAAUAUCCUUCGUUGACCAUGAGAGCUUGUGAUGGGCUAAGUUGGGACACCCCUGCAGGGUAUAAACUUUCGAGAGCCGUGCCCGCGAUUAUGUGGCAGAUGGGAAUUUGUUAAUGUCCGGUUGUAGAGAACUUGACACUUGACUUAUUUAAAAUACAUCAACCACGUGUGUAACCGUGAUGGUCUCUUUUCGGCGGAGUCCGGGAAGAGAACACGGGUUUUGGGUUAUGUUUGACGUAAGUAGGAGUUCAGGAUCACUUCUUGAUCACUUCUAGCUUUUUGACCAUUCCGUUGCUUCUCUUCUCGCUCUUAUUUGCGUAUGUUAGCCACCAUAUCUUGCUUAGUCGCUGCUGCAACCUCACCACUUACCCCUUCCUUACCCAUUAAGCUUUGCUAGUCUUGAUACCCAUGGUAAUGGGAUUGCUGAGUCCUCGUGGCUCACAGAUUACCACAACACCAGUUGCAGGUACAGGUUAUGCGAUGAUCAUGACGCGAGAGCGAUGUUUACUUGUUUUGGAGUUCUUCUUCUGCUUCUUCUUCGAUCAGGGGAUAGGUUCCAGGUCGGCAGCCUGGGCUAGCAGGGUGGAUGUCGUUUGAGCUUCUGUUUGUGUUUCAUCCGUAGUCGGAUGUUGAUCUUAUGUAUGAUGUAUUGAUGUAUUCUUGCGGCAUUUGGAUGCCUUGUAUGUAUCCCAUCUAUUAUGUAAUGUUGAUGUAAUGAUAUCCACCUUGCAAAAACGUUUCAAUAUGCGGGUCUAUCCUUGGUAGGGCCUUCGAGUUACUCUCGGAUAGGGUCGCAUAUUGGGCGUGACACAAAUUUAGAGCCAUAAUGCCAUAUGGUCAUUCUUAGAAGGCAUAUCUUUGGAAUAUAAUGCAAGUAUCUCUACUUUUACUUCCUUAGCCAAGAGUUAUCUGCAUGACCUUUUCUCUUCUUGCUAUGACUGAACGCUCUAAAACCAAAUGUGUCAUGUCCUCAACCCGCAAGAAAAAUGCUCCAGUAUCAGUUGAAAC
RNAcentral lists this long non-coding RNA (3808 nucleotides) under Triticum aestivum (bread wheat). RNAcentral describes it as "long non-coding RNA (TAES_LNC000584)". The record is from RNAcentral. Lineage: Eukaryota; Viridiplantae; Streptophyta; Magnoliopsida; Poales; Poaceae.